This 472-nucleotide ribosomal RNA is filed under the name Psammophis notostictus. RNAcentral describes it as "partial large subunit ribosomal RNA". Lineage: Eukaryota; Metazoa; Chordata; Lepidosauria; Squamata. The record is from RNAcentral.
AUUAAACGGCCGCGGUACCCUAACCGUGCAAAGGUAGCGUAAUCAUUUGUCUAUUAAUUGUAGACCUGUAUGAAAGGCAAAAUGAGGGUCUAACUGUCUCUUAUAAUCAAUCAAUUAAACUGAUCUCCCAGUACAAAAGCUGGAAUUCCAUCAUAAGACCAGAAGACCCUGUGAAGCUUAAACCAAACUGUUAAACCUCAUGACAACUAAUUUCGGUUGGGGCGACCUUGGAAAAAAAAARAACUUCCAAAUAUAAAGCUACAUAAAGCUACUCCAGGCCGACAGGCCAAACAACGACCCAGCAUAUAGCUGACUAAUGAAACAAGUUACUCCAGGGAUAACAGCGCUAUCUUCUUCAAGAGCCCAUAUCAAAAAGAAGGUUUACRACCUCGAUGUUGGAUCAGGACAUCCUAAUGGUGCAGCCGCUAUUAAGGGUUCGUUUGUUCAACGAUUAACAGUCCCACGUGAUCUG